UCAAAUUUUGAAAGUACUUGGAUAAUUAGGUGUUCUAAGUGUAUGUAAAAUUUUAUUGUAAUCCACUGGUGAAAUUGACAGAUAUCUAGAUUUUAGUAUAAGAACAUAUCAGAAGUUGGCAAUUUGGGAUUGAAUAGGAUUUUUGUGAUAUCUAGAGAUCUACUAGUCAGAUCAAGAUGAAUUUUGAUAUUAUAUUGAAAGACUUGAAGAUCAAG
This 215-nucleotide long non-coding RNA is filed under the name Physcomitrium patens. Its description in RNAcentral is "long non-coding RNA (PPAT_LNC005142)". The record is from RNAcentral. Lineage: Eukaryota; Viridiplantae; Streptophyta; Bryopsida; Funariales; Funariaceae.